RNAcentral lists this ribosomal RNA (245 nucleotides) under uncultured bacterium. RNAcentral's name for it is "partial small subunit ribosomal RNA". It matches the Rfam family "Bacterial small subunit ribosomal RNA", at positions 26 to 285 of the family's 1533-position model. The record is from RNAcentral.
AGAAUCAACGCUGGCGGCGUGCCUAACACAUGCAAGUCGAUCGAGAAAGUGGAGCAAUCCAUGAGUAAAGAGGCGCACGGGUGAGUAACACGUGACUAACCUACCCUCGAGUGGGGAAUAACCGUGGGGAAACCCGGGCUAAUACCGCAUAAUACCCACGGGUCAAAGGAGCAAUUCGCUUGAGGAGGGGUCGCGGCAGAUUAGUUAGUUGGCGGGGUAAUGGCCCACCAAGACGAUGAUCUGUA